GAUGAACGCUGGCGGCGUGCCUAAUACAUGCAAGUCGAGCGAACGGACGAGAAGCUUGCUUCUCUGAUGUUAGCGGCGGACGGGUGAGUAACACGUGGAUAACCUACCUAUAAGACUGGGAUAACUUCGGGAAACCGGAGCUAAUACCGGAUAAUAUUUUGAACCGCAUGGUUCAAAAGUGAAAGACGGUCUUGCUGUCACUUAUAGAUGGAUCCGCGCUGCAUUAGCUAGUUGGUAAGGUAACGGCUUACCAAGGCAACGAUGCAUAGCCGACCUGAGAGGGUGAUCGGCCACACUGGAACUGAGACACGGUCCAGACUCCUACGGGAGGCAGCAGUAGGGAAUCUUCCGCAAUGGGCGAAAGCCUGACGGAGCAACGCCGCGUGAGUGAUGAAGGUCUUCGGAUCGUAAAACUCUGUUAUUAGGGAAGAACAUAUGUGUAAGUAACUGUGCACAUCUUGACGGUACCUAAUCAGAAAGCCAUGGCUAACUACGUG
This 497-nucleotide ribosomal RNA is filed under the name uncultured bacterium. RNAcentral's name for it is "partial 16S ribosomal RNA". It matches the Rfam family "Bacterial small subunit ribosomal RNA", at positions 28 to 507 of the family's 1533-position model. The record is from RNAcentral.